RNAcentral lists this unclassified non-coding RNA (352 nucleotides) under soil metagenome. Its description in RNAcentral is "partial contains 5.8S ribosomal RNA, internal transcribed spacer 2, and large subunit ribosomal RNA". The stretch from base 1 to 120 matches the Rfam family "5.8S ribosomal RNA", at positions 35 to 154 of the family's 154-position model. The record is from RNAcentral.
GAUGAAGAACGCAGCGAAAUGCGAAAAGUAAUGUGAAUUGCAGAAUUCAGUGAAUCAUCGAAUCUUUGAACGCACAUUGCGCCCGCUGGUACUCCGGCGGGCACGCCUGUCCGAGCGUCAUUUCAACCCUCAAGCCCUCCUUCGGGAUGGACCUGGUGUUGGGGCUCGGCCGCCAUCUCCGGCGGCCGUCCCCUAAAUACAGUGGCGGUCACGUCGCGACUCCUUUGCGUAGUAGAAACACCUCGCUCCGGAUAGCAACGCGGUCCACGCCGUAAAACCACCAAUUUUCAAUGGUUGACCUCGGAUCAGGUGGGAAUACCCGCUGAACUUAAGCAUAUCAAUAAGCGGAGGA